GAUGAACGCUGGCGGCGUGCUUAACACAUGCAAGUCGAACGAAGCAAUUAUAAACAACUGGAGAGCUUGCUCAAAGGAAGGGAGUAAUUGACUGAGUGGCGGACGGGUGAGUAACGCGUGGGUAACCUGCCUCAUACAGGGGGAUAACAGUUAGAAAUGACUGCUAAUACCGCAUAAGCGCACAGUACCGCAUGGUACGGUGUGAAAAACUCCGGUGGUAUGAGAUGGACCCGCGUCUGAUUAGCUAGUUGGUGAGGUAAUGGCCCACCAAGGCAACGAUCAGUAGCCGGCUUGAGAGAGUGAACGGCCACAUUGGGACUGAGACACGGCCCAAACUCCUACGGGAGGCAGCAGUGGGGAAUAUUGCACAAUGGGGGAAACCCUGAUGCAGCGACGCCGCGUGAGUGAAGAAGUAUUUCGGUAUGUAAAGCUCUAUCAGCAGGGAAGAUAAUGACGGUACCUGACUAAGAAGCCCCGGCUAACUACGUG
This 489-nucleotide ribosomal RNA is filed under the name uncultured bacterium. Its description in RNAcentral is "bacterial SSU rRNA". It matches the Rfam family "Bacterial small subunit ribosomal RNA", at positions 28 to 507 of the family's 1533-position model. The record is from RNAcentral.